This is a long non-coding RNA of Callorhinus ursinus (northern fur seal), 1318 nucleotides long. RefSeq lists it as uncharacterized. The record is from RefSeq and is a predicted model, not a curated record. NCBI's taxonomy places the organism in Eukaryota, Metazoa, Chordata, Mammalia, Carnivora, Otariidae.
GGCGGAACCAGCGCCCUGCCUAACCUGAGGGGGUGGCCUGGGGGUGUGCACUGCUGGACCUGAUGUGGUCCUGAAGGCGUCCUUAAAUUGUUAAAAAUAGUCUCGCUGUAUAGAGAAGAACACUGGAACCUUUUAAGUCCCCAUCCCCUCGCCUGAGUCCGGAGUGAAACUCCAAACAUACUUAUUAAGAAACUGUUGCUUUAUUUUGACUCGUUUACAUAAAUUUUCCACUUUGGGGGGAUGGUGGUGGGCUUGUGGAAUUCCUAAAAUAACUUUUAAUGGAGCGAAGCCUUCCAUUAUGGGAAGCGCCUAGACGCGAGAGGCGUCUGGAGGCCUAGGUUCCCGUCAGAGCCCUGCCACCAACUGGCUGAGCGACUGAGGCACAUCGCCGCCCCUCCCGGCCGGGGUUAGGAGAGUGGACGCCCCCUCCACCCCGAAAGGGGAGACCGGAGAGCUGUCUCAACCAUUAAUAAUGAGACUGGGUUUUCCUUCCUUAAAAUGUUCUGAUAGUAUGGAGAGGCAACUUGGAGAUGAGAAUAAAAAUAAAAGAGGUGAGAGCAGUUUGCUUUUCUCAGUGGUGUACUCUGUGCCUAACACCGGUUAUAUUUAUGGCUCGGUCAAGGUCACCUUCAGAUCUGUGCAGGUCCAUCAAUUAUAUAUUAUCCUAUCGCUAUGGGGAAACCUCCCAUCACUUCAGAAGCUUCAGACCUUUGUACCAUCCUCCUGCAAAAGGACCUGUGCGGAGGGGCACCAAGGGCCUGACGGGGAGGGACUUUUGAAGAAUGAAGGUGGACAGGUGAUGUCAACUUGAUGUGUCACAUCAUUCAGGGAGCCAUAACAGGUUUAUGGCCCUGACCCGGGGAGGCCCUGCCCCCCUUACCACCGAGGAUCCGAGAGGCUGAGUACUGUGGACACCUGGGUGAAACAGCCAUGAAGCUUUACUAACUGCUCUGCAGCCUGACUCACUUGGGGCGGGUCUACACCACAGUCUUAAGUACAGCGAAGGAGGAAAGUGACUUCAAGCAAACUGAAAACCAUUUGGAAGAAGAGACAGUAGGCACACAGUGUGACAAAGUCUGCGCUGGAGCUAGAAGGACGAGUCUGCCCGCAGCUCUGUCCCGAACUGACCUCAAAGGGCCAUCAGAGGACUGCCGUGAGGUGCAGCGAAGGGGACGCUGAGCCGCGCGGGGAUAAAACCACUCGCCCAGGGUCACCAGGCUAGUGCUCCUUAAAGGUUCUUGUCUCAGUCAUGUCAUGUCCUCUAACCGGCUGGCUCACCACGCUGCCGCUGGGACCGGGAGUUGUAUUGUUUCCUUAA